GACGAACGCUGGCGGCGUGCUUAACACGUGCAAGUCGAACGGAAAGGCCCUGCUUUUGUGGGGUGCUCGAGUGGCGAACGGGUGAGUAACACGUGAGUAACCUGCCCUUGACUUUGGGAUAACUUCAGGAAACUUGGGCUAAUACCGGAUAGGAGCUCCUGCUGCAUGGUGGGGGUUGGAAAGUUUCGGCGGUUGGGGAUGGACUCGCGGCUUAUCAGCUUGUUGGUGGGGUAGUGGCUUACCAAGGCUUUGACGGGUAGCCGGCCUGAGAGGGUGACCGGCCACAUUGGGACUGAGAUACGGCCCAGACUCCUACGGGAGGCAGCAGUGGGGAAUAUUGCACAAUGGGCGGAAGCCUGAUGCAGCAACGCCGCGUGCGGGAUGACGGCCUUCGGGUUGUAAACCGCUUUCGCCUGUGACGAAGCGUGAGUGACGGUAAUGGGUAAAGAAGCACCGGCUAACUACGUG
Molecule: ribosomal RNA, 468 nt
Filed under: uncultured bacterium
Lineage: Bacteria
Description: partial 16S ribosomal RNA
Rfam family: Bacterial small subunit ribosomal RNA
Source: RNAcentral